GGGUGAAGGAUAAAAAGCAAAGUCCUCAGCCAAUGCAGAAACAAGUGAUCCAGUCCCCUUAUGAUAACAGCUGCAGCCCUUAGAAUCGUUAUCCUGACCCAAUGAAGGAAAAGUGUUGAGCAAAAUGGGGUGAAGCAGCAAAGUUAUAUCCAGUUGGACAACUAGGUAGAACAACUAGGUGCUGAUCCUUAUCACCAGUAGGUGUGGCUGGAAGCUGUGAGUCAGGAGAGUUUCUUCCGGAUAGAACUCCGUUGGGUUGCCUCAUUUUAGCAAAAAUGCUGCAGCUCAACCGCCUAUGUUUACAGAGCAGCCCUGGGAGUGCUUGGAGGUAAUUCUCACUGGGAACUCCUUGUUCUCAGCAUAACUUAGGCUAUGACUUACGGUGAAAUUAUAACUACUGCUUUCUCCUCAUUUCAGACUAUCUCAUCGGCACUAUCUCAUUAAAAGAAGCCACUUCUCCCUGACCUUCCCUCUGUUCUGCUCACCAUGAAUAUUUCUCCAAGCAUUUUGUCCUCGAUCUCUAUGAACCACAAUGACUAUCAAAGAAUGAAUCAAGAAUGAGAGGACAGAAUCUGAGAUCCUAGAGACCAGGGUCUUCAUUAAGCAUUGGAAAAUUCCAAAGAUCUCAGCAAUGAUGGGAUGAUGAGAUGGUGAUUCUUUGGGGAUCUGCAGUUUCACCUUCAAUAAGACCUUGAGCAAUUCAAAGCCUGUGAGAUGUAACCUGUUAGGGCUCAGCACAGCUGGGAAUCCAGAGACGUCAAAGUCUGCUGGCAGGUGAACGGCUGGCCUGUUACAAGACAACCUGAAGAAACAGGGCAGGGGAGCCAGAAACAACAAGCCCAGGAUUGCUACAGUUGUCUUCCUUAGGAGUUCUGCCAGCUCAGAUUGUGGAAGGACUGGGGAAGAGGCUGGGGUUUUAUAAGCAAGUGAGACAAUAAAAA
This 941-nucleotide long non-coding RNA is filed under the name Equus caballus (horse). Its description in RNAcentral is "lncRNA (ENSECAG00000046267.1)". Lineage: Eukaryota; Metazoa; Chordata; Mammalia; Perissodactyla; Equidae. The record is from RNAcentral.